UGCGAUGAGUCGAGAGGUCAGGCAGCCGACCCUUGUUUGGCUGCCCCGCGCGAGCGGAAAUGACAUUUCGAGCGGGGCCCGUUAACUUGCCGGAUUGCAAGGGGCCUGGCAAUGACGAAAGUGGACGUUCGUC
This 133-nucleotide non-coding RNA is filed under the name unclassified sequences. The record is from Rfam.